RNAcentral lists this ribosomal RNA (726 nucleotides) under Phyllactinia fraxini. Its description in RNAcentral is "eukaryotic LSU rRNA". It matches the Rfam family "Eukaryotic large subunit ribosomal RNA", at positions 79 to 820 of the family's 3401-position model. The record is from RNAcentral. Lineage: Eukaryota; Fungi; Ascomycota; Leotiomycetes; Helotiales; Erysiphaceae.
UUUAGUAACGGCGAGUGAAGCGGUAACAGCUCAAAUUUGAAAUCUGGCUCCCUGCGGAGUCCGAGUUGUAAUUUGUAGAAGAUGCUUUGGGUGCUCGGCCCGGUCUAAGUUCCUUGGAACAGGACGUCGUAGAGGGUGAGAAUCCCGUAUGCGGCCGGGGUGGGUGCUCGUGUAAAGCUCUUUCGACGAGUCGAGUUGUUUGGGAAUGCAGCUCAAAAUGGGUGGUAAAUUUCAUCUAAAGCUAAAUAUGGGCCAGAGACCGAUAGCGCACAAGUAGAGUGAUCGAAAGAUGAAAAGCACUUUGGAAAGAGAGUUAAACAGUACGUGAAAUUGUUGAAAGGGAAGCGCUUGCAACCAGACUUGGGCGUCGCUGAUCAUCCAAAGUUUUCUUUGGUGCACUCGACGACGUACAGGCCAGCAUCGGUUGGGGUGGUGGGAGAAAGGUUGUAGGAACGUAGCUCUUUUCGGGGAGUGUUAUAGCCUGCGACGCAAUGCCGCCUACCCUGACCGAGGACCGCGCUUCGGCUAGGAUGCUGGCGUAAUGGUUGUAAGCGACCCGUCUUGAAACACGGACCAAGGAGUCUAACAUCUAUGCGAGUGUUUGGGUGCGAAACCCAUGCGCGAAAUGAAAGUGAACGUAGGUGAGAACCCUUCGAGGGGGCAUCAUCGACCGAUCCUGAUGUCUUCGGAUGGAUUUGAGUAAGAGCAUAGCUGUUGGGANCNAAA